AUUGAACGCUGGCGGCAUGCUUUACACAUGCAAGUCGAACGGUAACAGGCCUUCGGGUGCUGACGAGUGGCGAGCGGGUGAGUAAUGCAUCGGAACGUACCCAGAGGUGGGGGAUAACGCAGCGAAAGCUGUGCUAAUACCGCAUGUGAUCUGAGGAUGAAAGCGGGGGACCGAGCAGCAAUGUUUGGCCUCGCGCCUUUGGAGCGGCCGAUGUCGGAUUAGCUAGUUGGUGGGGUAAAGGCCUACCAAGGCGACGAUCCGUAGCUGGUCUGAGAGGACGACCAGCCACACUGGGACUGAGACACGGCCCAGACUCCUACGGGAGGCAGCAGUGGGGAAUUUUGGACAAUGGGCGCAAGCCUGAUCCAGCAAUGCCGCGUGCGGGAAGAAGGCCUUCGGGUUGUAAACCGCUUUUGGCAGGAACGAAACGGUGUCCGCUAAUACCAGGCGCUAAUGACGGUACCUGCAGAAUAAGCACCGGCUAACUACGUG
RNAcentral lists this ribosomal RNA (492 nucleotides) under uncultured bacterium. RNAcentral describes it as "partial 16S ribosomal RNA". It matches the Rfam family "Bacterial small subunit ribosomal RNA", at positions 29 to 507 of the family's 1533-position model. The record is from RNAcentral.